UACCAGACUCCUACGGGAGGCAGCAGUGGGGAAUAUUGCACAAUGGGGGAAACCCUGAUGCAGCAACGCCGCGUGAGUGAAGAAGUAUUUCGGUAUGUAAAGCUCUAUCAGCAGGGAAGAAGAUGACGGUACCUGACCAAGAAGCCCCGGCUAACUACGUGCCAGCAGCCGCGGUAAUGCGUAGGGGGCAAGCGUUAUCCGGAUUUACUGGGUGUAAAGGGAGCGUAGACGGUGAAGCAAGUCUGAAGUGAAAGGCGGGGGCUCAACCCCCGGACUGCUUUGGAAACUGUUUGACUGGAGUGCAGGAGAGGUAGGUGGAAUUCCUAGUGUAGCGGUGAAAUGCGUAGAUAUUAGGAGGAACACCAGUGGCGAAGGCGGCUUACUGGACUGUAACUGACGUUGAGGCUCGAAAGCGUGGGGAGCAAACAGGAUUAGAUACCCCGGUAU
This 447-nucleotide ribosomal RNA is filed under the name uncultured bacterium. Its description in RNAcentral is "partial 16S ribosomal RNA". It matches the Rfam family "Bacterial small subunit ribosomal RNA", at positions 329 to 793 of the family's 1533-position model. The record is from RNAcentral.